GUGAAAUGUUUAGGACCACUU
RNAcentral lists this non-coding RNA (21 nucleotides) under Alligator mississippiensis (American alligator). Its record names the gene ami-miR-203-3p. The record is from miRBase by way of RNAcentral. RNAcentral also lists the same sequence under 1 other name. Lineage: Eukaryota; Metazoa; Chordata; Crocodylia; Alligatoridae.